UACGUUAGCGGCGGACGGGUGAGUAACACGUGGGUAACCUACCUAUAAGACUGGGAUAACUCGGGAAACCGGAGCUAAUACCGGAUAAUAUUUCGAACCGCAUGGUUCGAUAGUGAAAGAUGGUUUUGCUAUCACUUAUAGAUGGACCCGCGCCGUAUUAGCUAGUUGGUAAGUUAACGGCUUACCAAGGCGACGAUACGUAGCCGACCUGAGAGGGUGAUCGGCCACACUGGAACUGAGACACGGUCCAGACUCCUACGGGAGGCAGCAGCG
This 273-nucleotide ribosomal RNA is filed under the name uncultured Staphylococcus sp. Its description in RNAcentral is "partial 16S ribosomal RNA". It matches the Rfam family "Bacterial small subunit ribosomal RNA", at positions 88 to 356 of the family's 1533-position model. Lineage: Bacteria; Bacillati; Bacillota; Bacilli; Caryophanales; Staphylococcaceae. The record is from RNAcentral.